CCUCCAGCUCCACACUGUGUAAACACAUGUGGCACUAGUUCAAGAUCCAAACUCUCAAAAAAGGUUAGUGUAUUUAAAUUACACACUUUUCAUCACAACACUAUUACCACUGUGCAUCGACUGUUGCUGGUGGUUAAUGGCUUGCCAGUUAAGCAGACUGCUUUGUCUUGAAUGGUGUUAGGUUUCGUGCGCGUUGUAGCUCCAAGUGGAGAGUGUUCCAUCAUACUCCUGACUAUUACCUCAUAGAUUGACAAACUUUGAGGAGUGAGGAGGUCAGUCACUCUCAGUAGAAUUCCAUUUCUAGUCAGUGGAAAUACCCAGAAUGUUAAUAAUAAGAGAUAAAUGCCAUUGAAUGUUGGGUAGCAGGCUAGAUUUUAUUUUCUUAGAGAUGUUCAUUAUCUGGCAGUUGUGUGGCACAAAUGUAUUUUGCUACUUAUCAGAUAAGCCUGAUUGUUGUCCAGGCCUUGUCACAUAUGGACAAGAAUUAAGUAUCUGAGGAGUUGUAAAUUGUGCAGAGCAUCAUGUAAUCAUAAGUAAUCUUGAAAUUACAUGCUUACUAUUUGUUGUACAUUCAGUAUAUCAUUAUUCCAUAGUUAAUUCCCUAUUUGCAUCAACAAUGACUCCUUUAGCCUACUUAAUUUUGGCAUUAUGGGCUCUACAUUCUAACAUGGCUAUUGCCAAUGUCACCACGAGACCCUUUGACAGGGACGGAUAGCUCAGUCAAACCAUCAGUAUUCCCACUCUGGCCUUAUGAUGGAGAGAAGGUUAUUGAUGAAGCAGAUGAAGAUGAUUGGGUCAAGAAUACUAUUGUGAGGAUCUCCAAUAAUAAUGUCCCUGGGCUAAGAUUAUUGAUCUCUAAUGACUACAACUACCUUCCUUUGUACUAGACAUGACUCUAACCAGCAGAGAGUUUUGCUCUGAUUCCCACUAACUUCAGUUUUGCUGAGGCUCCUGGAUUCCAUUCUUAAUGUAUUACUGCCUUGAUGCCAAUGGCAGUCAUAGUCAUUUUCACUCAUAGGUUCAGCUCUUUGGUACUUGUUUGAACCAAGGCUGUAGUGAGGUCAGGAGCUAUACUGAGGACAUUGCAAAUGAAGCAGUGGAAUUUCUCGCCAUAUAUAUUAACUUGAUUUUUAAACAAUUGUUGGAAAUUUCAACUAGAAAGAUAUAUAACAAAACUUAAAACCAUCAAAAGUUGGGAUGAAAUCUGGGGACUGGACAUGAUGUUGAAUAAAUAAAGGCUGCAUAGUGUGUAUAAUGAUAGCAAGGUCAGAGAGGUUGUACAGGGUGGGGAUGAUGUGUUGAUUAUUUUAGGAUUUUUUCCUUGGCCUUUUGCUUUGCGUCAACAUGAAUUACCUUGGAAGUGGGCAUCCACUUGUCAGUGAUCAAACAGUUUUGAAAUUGAGUAGAAAGGCCAAUGAGUUCACUUAACUUUUUGAAGAAGUAUUUAAAUCAGCUUUGCAAUUGAGUAAAUAAAUUAAGUUCUACCAAUAAACAUAUUGAGUGAAAAAUGAAAGAUCUGUUUUCUGGUAUUGGUUUGAAGGAUAAAUGUUGGCUAAGAUACCCUGCUCUUCUAAUUCUCCUUUCAGGACAUCAACUCUUCACAACAUACAUAGUGACCUGGAGUAGCAAUCUCAAAAUACUGACGCUGAUUAAAUGUUUCUUUAAUCCACAGCGCAAUCUCAGACACUUCAAUUUAUCUUACUGUCAAUUGUGAUCGUCUUUAUCUGUGCUGUUAUGAUCAUGCUGCUGGUUUACUUGAAAAAAGUUGCAGAAAAAAACAAGAAAAAGCCGUAUUGAGACUGUAAAAGAGGAUUCAGCGAGAAGUUACGUUAUCCUACGGAAGUGGACUGUAGGACCUGAUUUAUUGUUUUGUUGAACCCUCCCCUGAAGCUGUGAUAUUCCAACUCUAUCCAUCAAACCACAACCUGACCCUGAAGGAUGCUCUCUAUCUUCAAGGACUGGUUAUGACAAUGGUCCCCAGUGAGAGUGUUCACAGUUUGAAACCUGGAAAUUGAGCAUUGUGGAACGGUGACAUCAUUGAGAUGGUAAAACCUUUCAGCCAAUAUGUCCCUGCCUACUGAUAUGGCCAAGACAUUUCUUCUGUGCAGUCUGUCCACAUUGUUUUGAAUGUUAGCAUUAACCCAUUCUUUUAUAACUUGGCUGAAGUGUUACAUUUUAUUCAGUUCCGUUCCGUUUUUUCCCCAAAACUUCCAUCUCCUCAUGUUCACGUUCUUUUUCAAAGAAGGCGAUUAUAAGGAGAGCACGUUCCUUGUAACGGUAUGAAGGUGGUGGAUAUUAAAUGGGGAUUCAUUGUAAAUAGGAAAAGACUGAAACUACAGUUGUUGAGUUAGGAGAUGCGUGCUUGUAAUGCAUUACUCUGCAAAUAAAGGGUCAUAGAAUAUGCACCAGUCCUAUCCCUCACUGCCUGACAUCCUGGAAUGGAGCAGGACCCAUUGUUCAAAUGCACACGUUGCAUAUGAGGCCCAGUAGGUCACAGAGGGUGGGGUAAAUGCCAUCUGUACCACAGUGGUGUGCCAGAAGGUGUAGCAGCAGCUACAAAACCAGCACACAACCUAGGCCUGGCCUGAUUUUCCUUCCACCCAGUUCACUGGUGGAACAAUUGAGCUCUGUUUGAAAUCUGUGACCCUGAUUUAUUCUCUUUUCCGCAUGCUCUCAGGUAGUUCUUUACACAGAUACCGUUGCUGAUUGACUCCAGGGUCUCUCAGUAUUUAUCUGCUGCAGCCUAAACGUUACUCAAUGUUGGAAUUUUGUGGGAAUAUAGCACAUUUUGUAGUUUAAUUUCAAAGAGCUGAUUUUUCCAACUGAGGUUUUGCUCAGAACUCACUGUUGUAUUAUCCCAUGCUCUUUGUCACUGUUUGGAUGCCCUGCUUUACUAUGAGACCAGCUGGAAGCUAAACUAAGUGCCGCCCUGAAACCAAAUGUUUGGAACCAUGCAUAUCACCUUGUGGUUCCCAACCCUUUCCCUUUGUCCUGGGAUUCUUCACGAGUUAAAGAUCAAUCUCCUGGACACUGCUUCAGGCAAAUUGGGAGAAAGAAACAGAACAGCAUUAAUAGGGAUUUUUUUUUUCUCUCAUUUUGUGGAAGACUUGCAUUCUGUCCUCAAAGAAACGUAUGUGGAUUUGGAGAGAAAAGGAAGGUCUUCUUUGACCAGUCAGAGGGGUGGGAGAGUCACUUAUUAAAUUUCCUGGACAAUGCCCAAGCGGAGCUGGCAAAAGCCAUUCCAAGUGAAUUUAUUCCCAUCCCCAUCCCCCCAAUCCUCACCAAAUCCCACCUCCCAGUGGCUCCAUAGCUGAUUCCCAGUCUGAACAGCACUGUAAAAGUAUUGUCAUCACCAGAGGGAUUUCACUGAUUCAAGGAGAGAGCACACCAUCACCAACUCAGCGCACUCAGCGACGGACAGUAAAUGCACCCUUGCCAGCGUCACCCAUGCCCUGAGAACUGGAAUAAAUAUCGGAAAAACUCACUACUACCUCGAUCUCUCAACGCUUGCUUGCCACCUCCCUUGUUUUGAUGACUGAGUUCCAACAAUCUUAUUGGCUUUGUUGGCUGCAUGUGCUGAGCUUUGAAUCAACCAGGGCUCCUAGCUCUUGUUCAUUUUCUUCUUCAGCUAUUUAAAGGUCUUCCAUGGGCUCGGGUAUGUUGCGCCUUUCUCCUUGCAGUAUGUGCUAGUCUGCAUUACACCUCAUGGCCAACUGCUCUGCCUGUUUGCACAUUCUGCCCACCCCAUAGUGCCACUUCCGAGGCUGCCUGGUAAAACUCCACUGUCUCUCACUUUGGUUUGGUAUCAUCUGCAGAUCUGACCACUUUACACCAAGAUUCUGAAAUCCGGCCACCCAAUCCAGCUGUCUCAGUACAAAUUAGUCUGAUGUUGAAAAUGUGCCUCAGCUUUGGUGACAGGGAAUCUAGCUAAAAUACAGCAGAAUACCACCAGGGGGUGAGCUUUACAAGCACUUGUUGCUUUCUCCCAUUCUUGUACUGCAGUUGUGACAACAUUUUCUGCUCUUUUUAAUUGUUCCAUCUCCAGAGGUAAAUUGUUUACAUUGUCAAUGAAGGUAAUUUGCUUACCUGUGUACAUUACUCUAUCUGGCAUACAGUUUUUUUGUAAAAGGAACAUCAAUGUAGUAAGAAAGAGCUGUACACAUUCCCUGAUGUAAUGAAUCGAAUGAAGACUUGUUUUUACUGAGUUUGUAAGAGUGAUCGGUAAUGUACAGCCGUUAUUAUUCGGUACUUGGUUAUUUCACUGGAAUAAAUGCGUUAGUUCUAUGACCUGUCAGACUUAACAUUGGUACAAAAAUAAAUGCAAAUAACAAUUAAA
Long non-coding RNA from Rhincodon typus (whale shark), 4336 nucleotides. RefSeq lists it as uncharacterized. Lineage: Eukaryota; Metazoa; Chordata; Chondrichthyes; Orectolobiformes; Rhincodontidae. The record is from RefSeq and is a predicted model, not a curated record. The transcript has 4 exons.